GGCAGAUCUGGUCUCUGGGGCUCUCGAACAGUCUUUUUGGCCAAAAGCAGACAUUCUGGAAAUAUUGGGCUGGCUUUGGGUGAUGUACUGUUGAAAAGUGUUGCCCACUCCAUAAAGGGAUCCAUUUCCUCUGCAAAAUGGGAUAAUCCAAUCCCUUAGGGUGGUAGAAAGGAUUAAGUGGAAGUAGCUAGCUCAUAGAUGCCUUUGGCCAAUUAACCUUUGACUGCGAUCUCACCCAUGGUGUAGCUCUCUGGUGCCCCCUGGUGUCUGUGGAUGCAAAAUGUUUGCCCUAGGCUGGCCAGCCUUCUGUCCUGCUUCCUGGGGAGGCUUCUCCCUGGCUAGGCUGUGUAGGAAGAGGAAGUCGUUGUACAGAUCAGACAGGCAGCCAGCGAGAGGUCAGUCGGUCCACGAGUAUUUACCGAACACUCGGGCGUAAGGCCUUGAACUGGGUCCUGUGAGGGCUCCAAGAAUGUACAGGACACCAUGGUCUGUUCUAUAGAGAAUGCAAGGUCAUUAGGGAGUUGACAUGAAAGCCUGGGAGUUGAACAAAUAGAGGUUCCCGGCAGUGUGGGAUCUGCAGCCAGUGAGUGAAGCCCCAGCAGCUAGCCCGGGAUGGUGAGGACUGUAUUCAAGAGGGGUGGGGCCAGAGCUGAGCCCCAGCGAUGGAGGAGGGCGGGGGCAGGGAGGACACACCAGGCGGAGGAAAUGACUGGUGCAAAGGCCUGUAGAUGGGACCGUGCAGGGAGAGUGAGGGGUCGGGAGGUAAGCAGUCAGCUAGGAUGCAAGUCCAGGCACAUGGGUGGUGGGAGGUACAAAUGGAAGUGGAACUGCCUUGAACCCUGAGGGGAGGGUUGCAGAUUUUAUUUCACAUUGCAGGAGGGAGUCAGUAAAGAGCAAAGAUUUUUUUUUUUUUUUUUUUUUUUUAAGCAAAGGAGUGUUUUGAUCAUUUGGGGCCUUAAGAAGACCAGCUUGGGGCUGGGCACAGUGACUCACACCUGUAAUCCCAGCUACUUGGGAGGCUGAGGGAGGAGAAUGGCUUGAACUUGGAGGUUCACCUCCUUGAGCCAAGAUCACACCACUGCACUCCAGCCUGGGCGGAGACAGAGUGAGACUUUGUCUCAAAAAAACAAAAACAAACAAACAGAAAAAGCAAAAAAAAACAACAAAAAACUAGCUUGGGAGAAACUGAGGCAGAAAAUCCAAAGAGGAAGUGAGACAAUAACUAUAAAACAGCGAUCCCCUUCACCACCUCCCUAGUGUGCUCAAAGUUUCAGUCUCUUUACUAGAAAACCACAGCUUUAUGUUGGAGUUAGUGCUGGAGCUUCUGGGGGCGAGGAUAUGGCUUUAGUAGUAGAAGCAGUAAUAAUCUUUAUCGAGUGCCAGGCUCUGUGCGUUAUUUUAUCCAGUUCUCACAUUAACCGUAGGAGACAGGUAGUGAUAGCUAGCCCCUUUUGGUGAGUGUGAAAACCGAGGCACCCAAAUAUUUAGUGAAGGGCCUGCGUUUUCAUAGGUGACAGGCUGCAGAGCCAGGACUCGGGUGCCUGUGUUCCCUGCGUGAGCUCUGUGUGUCACCACUGUGACUCUUGCACAUACAGGGCAGCCACUAGGAUUGGGGGUGCUUUGCUGAAAGGAGGGUACUGUUUAUCAACCUGCUCUUUGUCCCAUAGACAGUGCUGAAGUAACCCCGCCUGUCCUCUCUGUGAUGGGGGAGGCCACCCCAGUGAGCAUCGAGCCGUAAGUGCAGCCCUGCCCCUGGCUGAGGGGUGUGGGUGGCUACCCUGGUGCAGUGUGUGCAGGUGGGCCCUGGGAGCAACAGGAGGGUUCCGUGGGGCCUGCAGAGGGCUGAGAGGGCCUCCUUGCGCUUCUGUAUUUGGCCCUGGGCUUUGCUGUCCCCGCCCUGCCUCUGUGUGGAAGUUGCAGGGAAGGGCAAGGACCGGCUCAGCUUGAACUUAUCUCUAGGAGAGUUGGAAGGGGGAUCCAGAGGCUCUUUCCCAUCUGUAAACCUGCAGCUGCUUCUCCCCUCUCCAGCCUCUGGACCUUGCCUUUCUGGUGGUGCCAGGUCAGGCUGUCCUCCCAAGCUCCUAGAACCCAGACUCCCUACACCUAGCUGAGGCCUUGGUCUGCCAGCUCCCCCUCAUCUUCUUCCCACCCUGAGGGAUCAUCAAGUUCUCCGUCCCCGCAAGGUGAGGCCUCACUUCCUGCCCUUUUCACUCCUCUAGACGGAUCAACGUGGGCUCCCGGUUCCAGGCAGAAAUCCCCUUGAUGAGGGACCGUGCCCUGGCAGCUGCAGAUCCCCACAAGGCUGACUUGGUGUGGCAGCCAUGGGAGGACCUAGAGAGCAGCCGGGAGAAGCAGAGGCAAGUGGAAGACCUGCUGACAGCUGCCUGCUCCAGCAUUUUCCCUGGUGCUGGCACCAACCAGGAGCUGGCCCUGCACUGUCUGCACGAGUCCAGGGGAGACAUCCUGGAAACGCUGAAUAAGCUGCUACUGAAGAAGCCCCUGCGGCCCCACAACCAUCCGCUGGCAACUUAUCACUACACAGGCUCUGACCAGUGGAAGAUGGCCGAGAGGAAGCUGUUCAACAAAGGCAUUGCCAUCUACAAGAAGGAUUUCUUCCUGGUGCAGAAGCUGGUGAGCUGGGCUCUGUUUCAGGGUCAAAUGAGGGCCAGGAGCUGCCUGUGUGACUUUGGGGCUCCCUCUGCCAGUGACCAAGCCCUCUUAAAAAGCAGUCAGGUCAAUGCUACUGAGUAGCCUCAGAGAGAAUUUCCUAAAAAAUACAAGAAAGAGAAAGAUUAGGUCUCUUUUCCCUGUUGGUUCUAAGCAUCCUUUCCUCACUUCAGGGUAGUGUGGCCAAGCUCUGGGGUCUCAAUCCAGAAGGAGGCCUAAGUGGGCAUCAGACUUAAAAUAGGCAGGAGGAAGAUGGGGAGGAGGGUGGCAAGUAGAGGUGAGCCAUUCCCCAGAAGAAGAUGCAGGGGGAGGGUACCCUGGGGUGAGGGCAACUGAGAGCCAGCAAGUGCCUGCAGAGCUGACCUGGGGGCCUCUGCCCACUUCCUUUGACCCAGAGUUGCCUUCCAGUAACUCAGCUGUUCAAGUCCACAUUCCCUAGAUUUAUCUUGUCCUGUCUCCAUAUUCUUCUGGAAAAGCAGAUGCUUUGCUAAUCCAAGGAGUUGCAUCUUUCCAGCCCUGUCUCACAAAAUCUGGGCUGUGGGGAGAGAGAAUUGUGUGGACUGCCAAGGCAAAAGAGUUUUUAAAAAGAGCAUGCCCUUUCCUCUUGGGAUUGUAGAUUGUAUUGGGAACAGCCCUGGGGACUAGACAAAGUGCUGAUGAUGAAUUCCCCUACAAGGGCCCUGUUGUGAGGAGUCCUUUGCUGUGUUUUAGUAAUACUUUGUUCCCUGAUUGGGCAAUACUGACGGGAAGUACACGCCCGUGAAAUUCACUGAGGCGCCCCUAAUGCCUAAUGAAAUGAGCAGACCUUUAGUCAGUCAAACAAAGGGUCAGAGAGAAUUGACAGUAAAUGUGUAAAUGGCCUAAUUAAUACAUGUGUGACUUGGCCAUUUCUGUGAGAUGAAACAUGUCUGUUUCCUCCUCAGACACAAAGGGCCCACACUGACCCCUGGCCUCUCUGGACAGAUGCUCCCAGCCCAGCGAUGGCUGAGCAAUGUGGGAGCCUGUGUGGUGGUGUCAGAGAAAACAGCCUCUGCGUGUGGGAAAGUUGCCCAAAAACUAAACCCAGUGGCCAAAUAGAUUUAUGCAAUGGGAGAGCUAGAAUUUCAGAGCUUGAGAGGCAGGUCCCUGGAGAUCAUCUAGUCUUACUUAACCCCGUUUGCUAUUUACAAAUGAAAAACUUGAAAUUAGAAAUGUGAGUGACUUGCCUAAGCUCGAAUAGCUGUGCGGUAGCAGAGGCAGGACUAAGACUUAGGCCUUUCGCUUCCUCCUCAGGUUUUCCAGGGCUUUCUUGUGAGUUUCCCUUGAGUUCCUCCCCCGACAGGGAACACUGUGACAUUUCUGUAUGCUCACUUGUCAGCCACUGCUCCCUGGAGAUAAAUGAAAUUGUUUGCCUGGAUUAAUGAAAAGCGUCUGUGUUGCCAGGUCAGGGCUGGCUUUGGAUGUAAAUGGUGCCCAGACCUUUUCUCUCAACUUUUCAGUUUGAAAAAUGUCAAACUUAGAGGAAAAGGGAAAGAACAGUAGAAUGAACACCCAUCUACCCCUGACUUAGAUUUAGCAAUAGUUAACAUUGGCUAUAUUUGCUUUCUGUUUCUCUAUGUCUAAACAUAGACACACACAUAUACAGCUCUUUCUUGUUCUCUGAUUCAGCUAAUCAUUAAAAGUAAGUUACAGUCAUCCUGUCACAUGACUAAAACCUUUCAGCACGUAUCUCCUAAAAACCAAGAUAUUCUACAAAACCACAGUACCAUUAGCAUGCCCAAGAAAUUUAACCUGAUAAAAUAAUUCAGGCCAGGCAAGGUGGCUCACCCCUGUAAUUCCAGCACUUUGGGAGGCAGAGGCAGACGGAUCACUUGAGGCCAGGAGUUUGAGACCAGGCUGGCCAACAUGGCAAAACCCCGUGUCUACUAAAAAUACAAAAAAAAAACUAGCCGGUUGUGGUGGCACACACCUGUAAUCCCAGCUACUCAGGAAGCUGAGGCACGAGAAUUAUUUGAACCUGGGAGGCGGAGGUUGCAGUGAGCCGAGAUUGCAUCACUGCACUCCAGCCUGGGUGACAGAGCGAGACUCUGUCUCC
RNAcentral lists this small RNA (4741 nucleotides) under Pongo abelii (Sumatran orangutan). RNAcentral's name for it is "retained intron". Lineage: Eukaryota; Metazoa; Chordata; Mammalia; Primates; Hominidae. The record is from RNAcentral.